Molecule: RNase P RNA, 383 nt
Filed under: Armatimonadota bacterium
Lineage: Bacteria; Bacillati; Armatimonadota
Description: Armatimonadetes bacterium (groundwater metagenome) RNase P RNA component class A
Rfam family: Bacterial RNase P class A
About the family: Ribonuclease P (RNase P) is a ubiquitous endoribonuclease, found in archaea, bacteria and eukarya as well as chloroplasts and mitochondria. Its best characterised activity is the generation of mature 5'-ends of tRNAs by cleaving the 5'-leader elements of precursor-tRNAs. Cellular RNase Ps are ribonucleoproteins.
Source: RNAcentral
GGAGCAGGCCGGGCGGCGGCGGGCACCGCCGCUGUGCUGGUUUGCAGCGGCAAAGGCCCGAGGAAAGUCCGGGCUCCGCAGGGCAGGGUGCUGGGUAAUUCCCAGCGGGGGCAACCCCAGGGAUAGGGCCACAGAAAGAUACCGCCCCGGCGCGCGCCGCCGGGGUAAGGGUGCAACGGUGGCGGCAAGAGCCCACCAGGCGCGGGGCGACUCGCGUGCUAGGUAACCCCCACCCGGAGCAAGGCCACGUAGGGGGAGAUGAGGCGGCCCGCCGAUCCCCGGGUAGGCUGCUGGAGGCCCCAGGCAACUGAGGCCCGAGAGAGAUGGCUGCCGCCCCGCCGCAGGGUGGGGUACAGAACCCGGCUUACAGGCCUGCUCCCGUU